ACUGUAGCCUGUAAAAUUCUAACUGCUAAAUCCCUAGAGGAACGGUUGCCCUGAAUCCAUUUCCUCCGCUGACUCCAUGUCUCCAGGCUGUAUGGGCAUGCCUUUGCCAUUAUGGCGGUCAUAUUUCGUAAUAUGUCUUAAGUGGCAUACGACUGUUUGACAGUGGUGGUCACCUCUACCCACAAAUCCCUUCUAUCAUAUACACUAUCUAAAAUACUUCAGUUUCGUUCAAUUCUCUCAAUUAAGUUAGGUGCAGUUCGUGACUCUCAAACUUCAGCCUUUUGCCAACACAUCUUUAAGUUUUUCUUGAACUUCUUCAACCUUAAUGAUACUGAGUUUUACGUGAAUCCGUGAAUCUGCUAGUGUGUGCGCUCUCCAGUUUCUUUUGGAGGCACUCAGAGGUUGAAGUGUCCUCAUUUAGAGUAAAAUAAAAACCAGCAGAUAAAAUAGUCAUGUAUGGAUUAUGCGGUGUGGAAAAAUGAAUUUGGAAGAAGACGAGAUUAUUGAAAAGAAGCAUAAAAUAUGAGGAGGGAGGAUUCUGCUUAUGGAUACAACUCUAUCAAAGUGGACAAGAAAAGAGUUGAAAAACAGAAGAUGUUUGAUUAAAGUAAGAAGUGAUGUAUAAAUUAUAUGAGAGGAGAUAGACAAGAUGGUUUUUGCAACGACAGAAGCAAGAUCCUAUCAUUUAUGGAUCUAGAGAUGGAAUGUGUGAGUUUCUGGACACUUGAUAGCCUCAGUGAAAGCUAUCCAAUUGCUGAUGGAGUAUCUUCAAAGAAAAGCAGAAUCAGAUUAAAGUGCAUGUGUUAGGGUGGGGUAAGUGUUAGAAGACAAAGGAGAGGGAAAUCAACUAACACUUUCUUCAGUAGGAGGCAACACAUGAAGAAAUAUAUCCAGACUGUUGACCCUCACCAUGACUACAGAAUUUAACAUAUAGAACAUACAUUGCUCUGUCUCUAUGUCUAUAUACAUAUACGUCUAUCUAUGAUUCUCAAGCAUCAUUAGCCAAAAUACUUGAGUAAAAGCAGAAAGCUGACUUUUCUACAAAUGUUCUUUACUCGAUUAGUUACAAAGAACAUGAGAAGAGUAAAACUAAAAGACCACAAACUUAGUGAUUGACCAUGAAAUUCCGUGCAUUUGAACCAGAAUGUCAAGCAUAAACAAGUUACAGACAUUAGG
Rattus norvegicus (Norway rat) is the source of this 1176-nucleotide non-coding RNA. Lineage: Eukaryota; Metazoa; Chordata; Mammalia; Rodentia; Muridae. The record is from RefSeq and is a predicted model, not a curated record.